GCAAUACCGCUGACGACCGGCGCACGGGUGAGUAACACGUAUCCAACCUUCCCAUAACUCGGGGAUAGCCUUUCGAAAGAAAGAUUAAUACCCGAUAGUACUUUAUUAAGGCAUCUUAAGAAAGUUAAAGAUUUAUUGGUUAUGGAUGGGGAUGCGUUCCAUUAGAUAGUUGGUGAGGUAACGGCUCACCAAGUCUUCGAUGGAUAGGGGUUCUGAGAGGAAGGUCCCCCACAUUGGUACUGAGACACGGGCCAAACUCCUACGGGAGGCAGCAGUGAGGAAUAUUGGUCAAUGGGCGAGAGCCUGAACCAGCCAAGUAGCGUGAAGGAUGACGG
Molecule: ribosomal RNA, 335 nt
Filed under: uncultured Bacteroidales bacterium
Lineage: Bacteria; Pseudomonadati; Bacteroidota; Bacteroidia; Bacteroidales
Description: bacterial SSU rRNA
Rfam family: Bacterial small subunit ribosomal RNA
Source: RNAcentral